This 498-nucleotide ribosomal RNA is filed under the name uncultured bacterium. Its description in RNAcentral is "partial 16S ribosomal RNA". It matches the Rfam family "Bacterial small subunit ribosomal RNA", at positions 30 to 523 of the family's 1533-position model. The record is from RNAcentral.
AUUGAACGCUGGCGGCAUGCCUUACACAUGCAAGUCGAACGGUAACAGGUCUUCGGAUGCUGACGAGUGGCGAACGGGUGAGUAAUACAUCGGAACGUGCCUAGUAGUGGGGGAUAACUACUCGAAAGAGUGGCUAAUACCGCAUGAGAUCUACGGGUGAAAGCAGGGGAUCGCAAGACCUUGUGCUACUAGAGCGGCCGAUGGCAGAUUAGGUAGUUGGUGGGAUAAAAGCUUACCAAGCCGACGAUCUGUAGCUGGUCUGAGAGGACGAUCAGCCACACUGGGACUGAGACACGGCCCAGACUCCUACGGGAGGCAGCAGUGGGGAAUUUUGGACAAUGGGCGCAAGCCCGAUCCAGCAAUGCCGCGUGCAGGAUGAAGGCCUUCGGGUUGUAAACUGCUUUUGUACGGAACGAAAAGCCCCGGGUUAAUACCCUGGGGUCAUGACGGUACCGUAAGAAUAAGCACCGGCUAACUACGUGCCAGCCGCCGCAGUAA